AGAAAAUUAAUCCUGCGGAUGUAUUUGACAUUCGAAGGCGAUUGUCGGAUGAUAAGCAGAAACGAAAAUACUUACCUAAAAUAUAUGAUCCUUUCGUGAAUGGAGGCUUUCGUGCAGAAAUCCAAAAAAAUGUUUCACUUCGACCCUUUAUUACAAAUGAAACUGACACAACAAACUCCAUUUUGGUAAAUAAGAUUCAUGGUCUCCUUAUUUCUAAUAAUAGUAAUUCUCUAGAAUUUGACCAGAAAAUAGAUCAAUUUGAUAGAAAAUUAUUAUUAACUAAAAUUGGGUUUUUUGUUAAGUUAAUCAGUAAAUUUUCGGAAAAAUCAGUAUCAAGUUUGGAUUUUGACGCAAUUCACUUAUUUCCAGAACAUGAACAAGGAAAAAUGUAUUCCGAAGAAAAAAAAACUUUUUUUUCGACGCAAUUCGGACUACUCAUACCAACGAUACAAUUUUCACUACAAGUUUAUCGAGUGAAAUAAACGAAAUAAGUAAAGAAGUUCCUCGAUGGGAAUACCAAUUGAUCGACGACAUCGAGGUAGGGCUGAAUCNGAAGAAAAUUAAUCCUGCGGAUGUAUUUGACAUUCGAAGGCGAUUGUCGGAUGAUAAGCAGAAACGAAAAUACUUACCUAAAAUAUAUGAUCCUUUCGUGAAUGGAGGCUUUCGUGCAGAAAUCCAAGACAACGUUUCACUUCGACCCUUUAUUACAAAUGAAACUGACACAACAAACUCCAUUUUGGUAAAUAAGAUUCAUGGUCUCCUUAUUUCUAAUAAUAGUAAUUCUCCAGAAUUUGACCAGAAAAUAGAUCAAUAUGAUAGAAAAUUAUUAUUAACUAAAAUUGGGUUUUUUGUUAAGUUAAUCAGUAAAUUUUCGGAAAAAUCAGUAUCAAGUUUGGAUUUUGACGCACUUCACUUAUUUCCAGAACAUGAACAAGGAAAAAUGUAUUCCGAAGAAAGAAAAAAAAACUUUUUUUCCGACGCAAUUCGGACUACUCAUACCAACGAUACAAUUUUCACUACAAGUUUAUCGAGUGAAAUAAACGAAAUAAGUAAAGAAGUUCCUCGAUGGGAAUACCAAUUGAUCGACGACAUUGAGGUAGGGAUGAAUCCUACCAUACACACAAAGGAUCCUCAGAUUUGUUGCCGAUUACCGGGUGAGCAAAUUGUUUUCAGUUGUGAGACACUGUUCUCUAAGACGGAUGAGGCUUACAAUCGAGAUUUUUCGAGGAAGCAUCCAUCAAUAGACCCAAGUACGUACUUUCGUAUCCCGCAUUUUCUAUGGGAAAUGGAUUUCGACCGAGAGAUUAUCAGAGGAUCCGUGCACGGCCAAAGGCGUAAAAUAGCCAUUUUGAAACUCUUUCAAGCAAAUGUCCAUUCCCCAAUUUUUGUAGACAACUACCCGUUUGGUGGUCUUUUCGAUGAUAUCGUCCAAUAUGUGAAAGAAUAUUUCAGGAAACCUGGCACUGAUAAUUCGAAAUUUUUGCAGUUUCAGAAAGUGCAAGAAGAGAGACGGAAAGAGGACCAGAAAGACGAGAUUGAAAACAGACUUGAAAAAAUCGAAGAGGCCUGGGAGAGCAUUCUAUAUGGUCAAUGGAAAAAGAAGGGUCCGAGACGGAAAUAGCAGCAACAACUGGGUUUAUUACGGGACGCCUGAUGAUCUUCAUAUCCAUCUAUUAUACGCCUUUGCAUUUGGCAUUGAAUAGACCUCAUACGGUAUGAUUCUUACUAGUACCUUAUCUUUUCUUUUAUUUUCUAUACCACAAUGGCAAUCAUUUCUAUCGGUCGGCUUGGGUAUCCGACCUGUCUUCUGGAUACAAGGAUCCAGUUUUGGUGGAUUCUGGAUACAAGAAUCCAAACUCAAUACGUAAUUUGAGGAUUUACAAAGUAUUCUUCAAUAAUCUUUUGUUUCAACUGUUUUAUCCCGUUGUUGUUCAGAGUUCAAUCGUACUAAGAGUAAUGAACAUUUAUCUGUUUCGAUCCAACAAGAAAUUGUUCUUCUUAAUAAGUAGUUUUGUUGGGUGUUAAUUGGUCACAUCUUUUUGAUGAAAUGUAUUGGAUUGGUAUUAGUCGGGUUAAAGCAAAAAAAUUCGAUCAAAUCUAAGAUAACUAUGAGAUUUGAUAAAUACACUCUCCUACAAUUGCGAAAAUUAUACGGCGCAAAUGUUUGGAGCUUUUGCAUUUUUCUUCUUUGCACUCUAUUUAGGCAACUCACCGUCCCCGUAUUAUUAUGGUGCCGAAAUGGGAGACUACGACGAAAACCGGGAGGGGGAAAUCCAAGCUGCAAUAGAUCCGGACGAAACUAACCAAGAAGAUAUUACUGUUUAUCUUUCUCAGAAUGAGAAAAAAGAGACGACUUCCAACAACAUAAAUAUUGACAAAAAUAAAAAACUGGCCCCAUUGGAAAAAUCUCUUGUAACGACUCUUUUCGAUUAUAAUCGAUGGAGUAGGCCUUUGCGAUAUAUAGAAAAUCAUAAGUUUAACAGGAUUGAAAAAGAUGAAAAUUCACAAUUUUUCUUUCAAACAUGAGAAAGUGAUGGAAAAAAACGAAUAUCUUUCACGUAUCCACCUCAUUUAUCUACUUUUCAGAAACUCCUGGAAAAAAAAAUGGAUCUCUUCAGAAGCGAUAGCGAUAAAACCUCCUAUAAUCAUAAUGAUCUUUCACGUAUCCACCUCAUUUAUCUACUUUUCAGAAACUCCUGGAAAAAAAAAUGGAUCUCUUCAGAAGCGAUAGCGAUAAAACCUCCUAUAAUCAUAAUGAAUUGUUUAAUUAUUGGAGCUCGACUAAUAAAGAAAAACUAAAUCAACUAAGCAAUGAAUUAUUUCAAAAGGCAAAAAUUAUAGAUAGGAAAGAUAAGAAGAAAAUUAAUCCUGCGGAUGUAUUUGACAUUCGAAGGCGAUUGUCGGAUGAUAAACAGAAACGAAAAUACUUACCUAAAAUAUAUGAUCCUUUCGUGAAUGGAGGCUUUCGUGCAGAAAUCCAAAACAACGUUUCACUUCGACCCUUUAUUACAAAUGAAACUGACACAACAAACUCCAUUUUUGUAAAUAAGAUUCAUGGUCUCCUUAUUUCUAAUAAUAGUAAUUCUCCAGAAUUUGACCAGAAAAUAGAUCAAUUUGAUAGAAAAUUAUUAUUAACUAAAAUUGGGUUUUUUGUUAAGUUAAUCAGUAAACUGACACAACAAACUCCAUUUUGGUAAAUAAGAUUCAUGGUCUCCUUAUUUCUAAUAAUAGUAAUUCUCCAGAAUUUGACCAGAAAAUAGAUCAAUUUGAUAGAAAAUUAUUAUUAACUAAAAUUGAGUUUUUUGUUAAGUUAAUUAGUAAAUUUUCGGAAAAAUCAGUAUCAAGUUUGGAUUUUGACGCACUUCACUUAUUUCCAGAACAUGAACAAGGAAAAAUGUAUUCCGAAGAAGAAAAAAAAAUCUUUUUUUUCGACGCAAUUCAGACUACUCAUACCAACGAUACAAUUUUCACUACAAGUUUAUCGAGUGAAAUAAACGAAAUACGUAAAGAAGUUCCUCGAUGGGAAUACCAAUUGAUCGACGACAUCGAGGUAGGGCUGGAUCCUACCAUACACACAAAGGAUCCUCAUAUUUGUUGCCGAUUGCCGGGCGAGCAAAUUGUUUUCAGUUGUGAGACACUGUUCUCUAAGACGGAUGAGGCUUACAAUCGGGAUUUUUCGAGGAAGCAUCCGUCAAUAGACCCAAGUCCGGACUUUCGUAUCCCACAUUUUCUACGGGAAAUGGAUUUUGACCGAGAGAUUAUUAGAGGAUCCGUGCACGGUCAAAGGCAUAAAAUAGCAAUUUUGAAACUCUUUCAAGCAAAUGUCCAUUCCCCAAUUUUUGUAGACAACUACCCGUUUGGUGGUCUUUUCGAUGAUAUCGUCCAAUAUGUGAAAGAAUAUUUCAGGAAACCUGGUACUGAUAAUUCGGAAUUUUUGCAGUUUCAGAAAGUGCAAGAAGAGAGACGGAAAAAGGACCAGAAAGACGAGAUUGAAAACAGACUUGAAAAAAUCGAAGAGGCCUGGGAGAGCAUUCUAUAUGGUCUUGUAAUCAAAAAAUUUGUAAUAUUAUUCCAAUCAAUAUUUAGAAAAUAUAUUCUAUUACCUUCAUUGAUAAUCACUAAAAAUAUAAUUCGUAUCUUAUUAUUUCAAAAUCCGGAAUGGUCAGAAGAUUUUAGGGAUUGGAGAAGAGAAAUCCAUGUUAAAUGCACCUAUCAAGGCGUUCCAACAGGUAGCAACGCAUUGCCAAUCGACUGGUUCUGGGGCGGUCUUCAGAUAAGGGUCUUACACCCUUUUGUUCUGAAACCUUGGCACAAUAAACCUAAGGUACGAUCUACUGAAAAAAAAAAAAGAUACACUCCAAAAAGCGUACUUGAAACAACCGCCUUUGAAAAAAACUUCUUGUUUUUAACAGGUUAUGGAACACUAGUCGAAGCGUACACUGAUGAGCAUGUCCCAAACCCAUUUGCAUUUUUGGGUCCUAUUUUCAAUCAAAUAACAAAACAAUUGAAAAAAGAUUUGAAAAAGUCUUUUCGAAAAUUGGAUAAUCAAAAAGAAAGAAAAAACAGGUCUCCAUCCUGGGAGAAGAAUUAAAACAAAUAGAAAACGAAUUGAGUGAAAUCCAAAAAAAUUCACCAAUUAAUCCAAUGAUUGAGGAAUCGCCCGAUAUAAUUCAAUCUAUUAAUCCAAUGAUUGAGGAAUCGCCCGAUAUAACUCAAUCUAUUAAUUGGACAAAUUCAGAAAAAAGGAUAAAAGAUCUUAAUGUUAAAACAAAGACGAUCUUAAAACAAAUAGAAAAAAUGACAGAAGAAAAAAACGAGGGGGUUAUAACUGAUGCUAAAA
Molecule: long non-coding RNA, 4840 nt
Filed under: Lathyrus oleraceus (garden pea)
Lineage: Eukaryota; Viridiplantae; Streptophyta; Magnoliopsida; Fabales; Fabaceae
Description: Pisum sativum (pea) long non-coding RNA (PSAT_LNC034490)
Source: RNAcentral